GAUGAACGCUGGCGGCGUGCCUAAUACAUGCAAGUCGAGCGAACAGACGAGGAGCUUGCUCCUCUGACGUUAGCGGCGGACGGGUGAGUAACACGUGGAUAACCUACCUAUAAGACUGGGAUAACUUCGGGAAACCGGAGCUAAUACCGGAUAAUAUAUUGAACCGCAUGGUUCAAUAGUGAAAGACGGUUUUGCUGUCACUUAUAGAUGGAUCCGCGCCGCAUUAGCUAGUUGGUAAGGUAACGGCUUACCAAGGCGACGAUGCGUAGCCGACCUGAGAGGGUGAUCGGCCACACUGGAACUUAGACACGGACCAGACUCCUAAGGGAGGCAGCAGUAGGGAAUCUUCCGCAAUGGGCGAAAGCCUGACGGAGCAACGCCGCGUGAGUGAUGAAGGUCUUCGGAUCGUAAAACUCUGUUAUUAGGGAAGAACAAAUGUGUAAGUAACUAUGCACGUCUUGACGGUACCUAAUCAGAAAGCCACGGCUAACUACGUG
Molecule: ribosomal RNA, 497 nt
Filed under: uncultured bacterium
Lineage: Bacteria
Description: partial 16S ribosomal RNA
Rfam family: Bacterial small subunit ribosomal RNA
Source: RNAcentral